Molecule: non-coding RNA, 93 nt
Organism: Trametes coccinea BRFM310
Lineage: Eukaryota; Fungi; Basidiomycota; Agaricomycetes; Polyporales; Polyporaceae
Source: the annotation of a GenBank genome assembly
GCCCGCCUAGCUCAAUCGGAUAGAGCGUCAGACUUUUAUCCAUUCUCUAGGGUCGGGAUCUGAAGGCUGCGGGUUCGACCCCCGCGGUGGGCU